GCUGUGAACGCACCCUUAUAUUUGACGUUUCUUGCUGCAGCAUAAAUUUACAUACGGAUAUGCGUGCGUUUGUGUGAGUGUCAAUAAUAUGAGUAAAGAAACAGAUGAUCGUUGUAAUGUUGUAUUUGUUGUUUGUUUACUAAGUACAUAAGCGAUGUAAAGUCUCCAUCAUGGAAUAUGUGUAGUUUGUUGCGCUAUUAAGUCAAGUUAUCCGUUUAUGUUCUCCGGAGGAGAUUGAAUUUGUAGUGAUACUUACCGACUCUUGCUCAUCACCAGAGGCGAAGCUAGGGAGUGUUUGGGAAAGUGGAAAACUAAAUUGU
Long non-coding RNA from Armigeres subalbatus, 320 nucleotides. RefSeq lists it as uncharacterized. NCBI's taxonomy places the organism in Eukaryota, Metazoa, Arthropoda, Insecta, Diptera, Culicidae. The transcript is spliced from 3 exons. The record is from RefSeq and is a predicted model, not a curated record.